RNAcentral lists this microRNA (18 nucleotides) under Pteropus alecto (black flying fox). RNAcentral describes it as "pal-miR-191-3p". Its record names the gene pal-miR-191-3p. The record is from miRBase by way of RNAcentral. Lineage: Eukaryota; Metazoa; Chordata; Mammalia; Chiroptera; Pteropodidae.
CUGCGCUUGGAUUUCGUU